AGCACUAAAACUUAUGUUCUCUCC
RNAcentral lists this non-coding RNA (24 nucleotides) under Arabidopsis thaliana (thale cress). The record is from RNAcentral. Lineage: Eukaryota; Viridiplantae; Streptophyta; Magnoliopsida; Brassicales; Brassicaceae.